RNAcentral lists this ribosomal RNA (705 nucleotides) under uncultured bacterium. RNAcentral's name for it is "bacterial SSU rRNA". It matches the Rfam family "Bacterial small subunit ribosomal RNA", at positions 94 to 792 of the family's 1533-position model. The record is from RNAcentral.
AGCGGCGGACGGGUGAGUAACGCGUGGACAACCUGCCCUAUGCAGGGGGAUAACAUCCGGAAACGGGUGCUAAUACCGCAUAAGCGCACAGUACCGCAUGGUACAGUGUGAAAAGCUGAGGCGGCAUAGGAUGGGUCCGCGUUGGAUUAGGCAGUUGGCGGGGUAACGGCCCACCAAACCGACNAUCCAUAGCCGGCCUGAGAGGUUGAUCGGCCACAUUGGGACUGAGACACGGCCCAAACUCCUACGGGAGGCAGCAGUAGGGAAUCUUCCACAAUGGGCGAAAGCCUGAUGGAGCAACGCCGCGUGGGUGAAGAAGGUCUUCGGAUCGUAAAACCCUGUUGUUAGAGAAGAAAGUGCGUGAGAGUAACUGUUCACGUUUCGACGGUAUCUAACCAGAAAGCCACGGCUAACUACGUGCCAGCAGCCGCGGUAAUACGUAGGUGGCAAGCGUUAUCCGGAUUUAUUGGGCGUAAAGGGAACGCAGGCGGUCUUUUAAGUCUGAUGUGAAAGCCUUCGGCUUAACCGGAGUAGUGCAUUGGAAACUGGGAGACUUGAGUGCAGAAAAGGAGAGUGGAACUCCAUGUGUAGCGGUGAAAUGCGUAGAUUUAUGGAAGAACACCAGUGGCGAAAGCGGCUCUCUGGUCUGUAACUGACGCUNANGUUCGAAAGCGUGGGUAGCAAACAGGAUUAGAUACCCUGGUA